AACGAACGCUGGCGGCAUGCCUAACACAUGCAAGUCGAACGAGACCUUCGGGUCUAGUGGCGCACGGGUGCGUAACGCGUGGGAACCUGCCCUUAGGUUCGGAAUAACUCCCCGAAAGGGGUGCUAAUACCGGAUAAUGUCUUCGGACCAAAGAUUUAUCGCCUUUGGAUGGGCCCGCGUUGGAUUAGCUAGUUGGUAGGGUAAAAGCCUACCAAGGCGACGAUCCAUAGCUGGUCUGAGUGGAUGAUCAGCCACACUGGGACUGAGGCACGGCCCAGACUCCUACGGGAGGCAGCAGUGGGGAAUAUUGGACAAUGGGCGAAAGCCUGAUCCAGCAAUGCCGCGUGAGUGAUGAAGGCCUUAGGGUUGUAAAGCUCUUUUACCCGGGAUGAUAAUGACAGUACCGGGAGAAUAAGCUCCGGCUAACUCCGUG
RNAcentral lists this ribosomal RNA (433 nucleotides) under uncultured bacterium. Its description in RNAcentral is "partial 16S ribosomal RNA". It matches the Rfam family "Bacterial small subunit ribosomal RNA", at positions 29 to 507 of the family's 1533-position model. The record is from RNAcentral.